This 253-nucleotide ribosomal RNA is filed under the name uncultured bacterium. RNAcentral's name for it is "partial 16S ribosomal RNA". It matches the Rfam family "Bacterial small subunit ribosomal RNA", at positions 524 to 776 of the family's 1533-position model. The record is from RNAcentral.
UACGUAGGUGGCAAGCGUUGUCCGGAUUUAUUGGGUUUAAAGGGUGCGUAGGCGGCUUUGUAAGUCAGUGGUGAAAUAUGGCAGCUCAACUGUCAAGGUGCCAUUGAUACUGCAGAGCUUGAGUACAGAUGAGGUAGGCGGAAUUGACGGUGUAGCGGUGAAAUGCUUAGAUAUCGUCAAGAACACCUAUAGCGAAGGCAGCUUACUAGGCUGUAACUGACGCUGGGGCACGAAAGUGUGGGGAUCAAACAGG